Molecule: long non-coding RNA, 522 nt
Filed under: Mytilus galloprovincialis (Mediterranean mussel)
Lineage: Eukaryota; Metazoa; Mollusca; Bivalvia; Mytilida; Mytilidae
Source: RNAcentral
UCUCUGCUGGAGAGUUGUCUGUAAUAGAGAGUUGUCUGUGAUGGAGAUUUGUCUCUGUGGAAAGUUGUCUCUGUUGGAGAGUUUUAUGAUAGAGAGUUGUCUUUAGUAGAGAGUUGUCUCUAAUGGAGAGUUGUCUGUGAUGGAGAUUUGUCUCUGAUGGAAAGUUGUCUCUGAUGGAGAGUUAUCUCUGUUGGAAAGUUGUCUCUGAUAGAGAGUUGUCUGUGGUGGAAAGUUGUCUCUGAUGGAGAGUUGUUUCUGUUGGAGAGUUGUUUCUGUGGACUGUUGUCACUGAUGGAGAGUUGUCAUUAAUGGAGAGUUGUCUCAGAUUGAAAGUUAUCUCUGUUAAAAAGUUGUCACCGAUGGAGAGUUGUCUCUGAUAGACGGUUGUCUCUGAUAGAGAGUUAUCUCUGAUGGAAAGUUGUCUGUGGUGGGAAGUUGUCUCUUAUGGAGAGUUGUUUCUGUGGACUGUUGUCACUGAUGGAGAGUUGUCUCUGAUAGACGGUUGUCUCUGAUAGAGAGUUA